RNAcentral lists this small RNA (1039 nucleotides) under Pongo abelii (Sumatran orangutan). RNAcentral's name for it is "retained intron". Lineage: Eukaryota; Metazoa; Chordata; Mammalia; Primates; Hominidae. The record is from RNAcentral.
UAAUUCCAUCACUCACUAGUAAUCGUUUUGGUGUAUAAUGUUGUUUUUUUCCUACACAUAAGCGUAUGUAUGUAUACAUUCAUACCAGUUAGGAUCAUAUUGUAUUUCUAGUAUCUAGCAUAGUACUUGGCUCAGAGUAAACACUCUAAUAGAUUAAUGAAUGGUUUUUACUACCUAGAUCUCUGUUAAGAUUACUGAGAAACAGUGUAAGUUAGUCUUGUUUCAACAACUUAUAUCUUUGCCUCCUGAGGUAUGUUUUGUCAAUUGAGAGUGCUGAAGAGAUACGAGAAUAUGUUACUGAUCUCCUCCAGGGAAAUGAAGGCAAAAAAGGUCAAUUCAUAGAAGAACUUAUAACCAAAUGGCAAAAGAAUGAUCAGGAGUUGAUUUCUGAUCCUUUGCAGCAGUGCUUCAAAAAAGAUGAAAUUUUAGAUGGGCAGAAAUCAGGUGACCAUCUAAAGCGGGGUAGGAAGAAAGGGAGAAACAGACAGGAAGUUCCUGCAUUUACGGAACCUGACACGACUGCAGAGGUUAAAACACCUUUUGAUUUGGCCAAGGCACAAGAGAACAGCAACUCCGUAAAAAAGAAGACAAAGUUUGUCAAUUUAUACACAAGAGAGGGACAGGACAGGCUUGCAGUCCUGCUCCCUGGUCGCCACCCUUGUGAUUGCCUGGGCCAGAAGCACAAGCUCAUCAAUAACUGUCUGAUCUGUGGGCGCAUUGUCUGUGAACAAGAAGGCUCAGGCCCUUGCUUAUUCUGUGGCACUCUGGUGUGUACUCAUGAGGAACAAGAUAUUUUACAGCGUGACUCAAACAAGAGCCAGAAACUGCUAAAGAAACUCAUGUCAGUAUUCGAAGGACCCAAGUUAUUGAUGAUGAGUCAGAUUACUUUGCCAGUGAUUCUAACCAAUGGUUGUCCAAACUUGAGCGGGAAACCUUGCAGAAGCGAGAGGAGGAGCUGAGAGAACUUCGACACGCCUCUCGACUUUCUAAGAAGGUCACCAUUGACUUUGCAGGAAGGAAGAUCCUGGAAGAAGAAAAU